This 272-nucleotide ribosomal RNA is filed under the name uncultured Paenibacillaceae bacterium. RNAcentral describes it as "partial 16S ribosomal RNA". It matches the Rfam family "Bacterial small subunit ribosomal RNA", at positions 79 to 339 of the family's 1533-position model. The record is from RNAcentral. Lineage: Bacteria; Bacillati; Bacillota; Bacilli; Caryophanales; Paenibacillaceae.
CUUGCUUCUUUGAUACUUAGCGGCGGACGGGUGAGUAACACGUAGGCAACCUGCCCUCAAGCUUGGGACAACUACCGGAAACGGUAGCUAAUACCGAAUACAUGAUUUGUUCGCCUGAACGAAUCUGGAAAGACGGAGCAAUCUGUCACUUGAGGAUGGGCCUGCGGCGCAUUAGCUAGUUGGUGAGGUAACGGCUCACCAAGGCGACGAUGCGUAGCCCGACCCUGAGAGGGUGAUCGGCCACACUGGGACUGAGACACGGCCCAGACUCC